Long non-coding RNA from Athalia rosae (coleseed sawfly), 739 nucleotides. RefSeq lists it as uncharacterized. The transcript is spliced from 2 exons. NCBI's taxonomy places the organism in Eukaryota, Metazoa, Arthropoda, Insecta, Hymenoptera, Athaliidae. The record is from RefSeq and is a predicted model, not a curated record.
CUUGAGCAUCGAAGCACAGUUGAGAGACGAUCGGUCGUUGUCCCUGUGAAAUAAAAUUCGAGUCUUCCUAAAGAAUUUCGUUGAAACUUCGACAACGUGUAACAGCCUCGUAUUGCACCUGCAGCUAAUGCAUAUCAAACGUGACGGAAUUCUACGGAUGGCUAAUUCGCAGGGCUGAAAUACCGGUGCAUUAGGAAGGAAAGCGUUGAAUUUCUUUUCUUCUUCAUCUUCUUGCCCCGGUACAAUAAACAAUUGUAAUAUAAUAAUGUGGUAAAAUAAAUUAUCUUUCUUGCGCACGAGGUAUGAAAGUGAAAAAAAAAAAAAAAAUCGACUCGUAGUUUUAACAAAUUUGUAUUAGAUAGUAUUAACUGUUUGAAAAUUGUGCUAAAGGCGACGGUGAAAGUGAACCAGAUGAUGAUGAAUUUCAUAGAAUAAUAAUUAUUUCAAUUAGUUGUUAGAGAUGUGUCGACUUUGAAGCAACAACAAAAAAAAUAAAAAAUAAUAAUCCAAAAUUGUAUACGUCAAAAAGUAGAUCGUCUAUUUCGGAUUAUAUUGUAAAGUUAAGUACAAAAUGAAUCAGACAUCGUUUAUUUUUAUAUCUCUGAUAAUUGCACCUGUUUCACCUGUCGCCUUAUAAACUGAUCGAUAAUUAUUUGAAAUCAUAUGACUUUCGCUUGUACCCGUAUUUCUUUUGCAAAAACUGAGGUGCUAAAUAUUACUGCGGUUGUUGUAACAAAAA